AUACGGAGGGUGCAAGCGUUAUCCGGAAUCAUUGGGUUUAAAGGGUCCGCAGGCGGACUAGUAAGUCAGUGGUGAAAUCCCGUAGCUCAACUACGGAACUGCCAUUGAAACUGUUAGUCUUGAAUUCGGUCGAAGUGGGCGGAAUGUGUCAUGUAGCGGUGAAAUGCAUAGAUAUGACACAGAACACCGAUAGCGAAGGCAGCUCACUAGGCCUGAAUUGACGCUCAGGGACGAAAGCGUGGGGAGCGAACAGGAUUAGAAACCCCGGUAGUCC
This 274-nucleotide ribosomal RNA is filed under the name uncultured bacterium. Its description in RNAcentral is "partial 16S ribosomal RNA". It matches the Rfam family "Bacterial small subunit ribosomal RNA", at positions 523 to 796 of the family's 1533-position model. The record is from RNAcentral.